This 14361-nucleotide long non-coding RNA is filed under the name Citrus maxima (pomelo). RNAcentral describes it as "long non-coding RNA (CMAX_LNC003505)". Lineage: Eukaryota; Viridiplantae; Streptophyta; Magnoliopsida; Sapindales; Rutaceae. The record is from RNAcentral.
AAAAAGGCAUUGAAGGGAAUAAAGGUAGUGCUCAGGCAUAUGGGGUACAACUUAAGUUGCAAGAUCACUGGAAUAACCAGUCAACCGAUGAGCCAAGUAAUGUAUGUGUGUGUGUAAUUAACUGAUAUACAAGUGUAAGAACACUGUCCAACUUGUGGUGAUAGAGUGUGAUAACAUAACUUGGUGGUUUGGUUGUGUUUAUGUUGGUCGAUUUGUUUAUGUUAGCUGAUUCUUGAGUCCCCCACGCCAUUUGAGAAGCAUACUUUAUGUUGCCUGCUUUUGUCGUCAUCUGAAAUCCACAUAUGGUUAAAUUUGUCUUCUGUGUUGUAUUUUAUGUAUGAUUGAACUACUUGGUGGUAAAAAGUUUGGCGGAUGUGUCUCAAAUCAAUUUCUCAAAUCUGAUAUGUGAUAGUAGUUGGCUACUAUGUAGUGCGAUGGUCACUUGAUAUUGCGUGUAACAGUGAUGUAUCCCUCCUUCCAUGUUAUAGUAGGCAUUCACGUUAUAUCUUCCCUUUGAUUGUAUUUGCUAGGUUUACUUCUGACAAUGAGACAAGGUCGGUGGUUCAAUAUUUUCUUGAAAAACAUAAAAUUGCGCUUCAAUUCACGUCAUUGCCUGCCCUUGAAGCUGGAACUGAAGAGAGGCGCAUUUAUUUGCCAAUGGAGGUUCUAUGAUCAAAAGACUACUUUCAUUCUUUGUGUCUGGAAAAUAAUUUAUUUAAGACUUAUUUAUAGAAUAUUUUUGUUUCCAGCUUUCUAGGAUUGUCGAGGGACAGAGAUAUACUAAAAGAUUAAAUGAAAGACAAGUAACUGCUCUUUUAAGAGCAACUUGUCAGCGUCCUCGGGAUCGUGAAGCAAAUAUACAGACGGUAGAGCAUUGUUGUAAUUUCUUACAUCUGUGGUGGAUCUUUUUUGGAUGAUUAAUCUGGGAGCUAUCUUCUUGUGAACAAAGAGAGUUUCUGAUUCUUGCUUCUGGGUUUGACAUUCUUCUGCAGAUGGCUAGGAAAAAUGCUUACAAUGAAGAUACUCUUGUGAACAAGAAGUUUGGAAUUCAAGUGGCUGAUGGUCUUACAUCGUUUGAUGCUCGAAUCCUACCUGCUCCAAUAGUAAUUAUGUGUCAUUUUGUUUUAUUUGUAACAGGAUUGUGGUACUUCCAAUCUCCUUGUGCUUAACUUUACCUCCUGUAAUGCUGCAGCUUAAAUAUCAUGAAUCUGGCAGAGAAGCAAGCGUGAAUCCUGAUUUUGGGCAAUGGAACAUGAUUAACAAGGUGAAUUACUGAUUAUUAUUUUAUUCCGUAGUUGUUGAUUUGUGCUUAGGAAGAGCAUACGGAAGCGGUUACCACUUGUUUAAUCUGGUUGAGGGAUGUUUAUUGACUGAUGGGUAGGAUGGGUUGGAAGUUGAUUUGCUACAUUUGAUGCAAUGUGGAUGUGCUGCAUUUCUUUUGCAACCAUAAUUUUUUAUUUUUUUUUUCCGUUUUAGCAUGCUGUAAUUUCUAUUUAGUUAUAUACUUUUUCAUCUUUGACAAGCAUUGUAUCUGAUAUUCACUUAGGUAUUCGGAUUGUAUGUGCUUGGUGUUCAGCUCAAUCCACUUUGCCUUCUGAAUGGGAAGUAUUUUUUUGUUCACACUGAAUUAUUUUGUGUAAUUUUGGUUGUACAGAAAAUGUUCAAUGGUGGGACAGUGCAAGUUUGGACUUGUAUGAACUUCUCAACGUGUUUGAACCAGGAUGUGAUCGUGUUCUGUCAACGGUUGGUAGACAUGUGCAAUAGAAAGGGAAUGGUAUGGUAAUGUUAAUGGUAUGGUAAUGUUAUUUGUUUUGCAAUUCAUGUUAGCAAUUUAGGUUAAUGGUCUCUCUGAACCGACUUUUUUCUUUUGGGGGGUCCGUGUUUAUCAUGCCAGGUAUUUAACUGCCGGCCUGUCAUUCCCAUAAGUUCAUACAACCCAUAUCAAAUUGAGAAGGCACUUGUAGACGUUCACAAUAAGACUACACAGCCAGGGAAACAGCUUCAGCUGUUGAUAAUUAUUUUACCAGAUGUUAGCGGAUCAUAUGGUGAGUGAUAAAUUUAAUCAAGGAUUAAACUUUAAUGUCAGCUUUGGUUUUGUUCAACAUUAUCGGCUUUCUGCUCGCAGGAAGAAUUAAGCGAGUUUGUGAAACGGAACUUGGGAUUGUUUCACAAUGCUGUCAGCCUAAGCACGCAUCCAGUUGCAACAUGCAGUAUUUUGAAAAUGUGGCUCUUAAAAUCAAUGUGAAGGUUUGCUUUGCCCCCAUUUUUUUGCGUGUUCAUUAUCAUGGUUAAUAUUUGAGAACCAAUACAAGGGUUGGCAGGAAAACAUGUAGGAGAUGAUUUUUUUUUUUUUUUGGCAAUUUAAUUUCAGUCUUGAUUUGCUGGAAUUAUUGUAUUUUUUUUGUUCAAAUAAUCAAAUUCUGAUGUUCAAGAUAUUUUUAUAAGUGUUUGGGAGUGCCAAAAUUUCUUGUUAAAAUUGAUAGGUUUGCUUAUUGGUACUGGGGAUUCAGUUUGCUAUUUGUAAUUUUAUCAGGUUGGAGGACGAAACACUGUGCUCGAUGAUGCUGUUCAGAAAAGAAUUCCUCUUGUGACUGAUAAACCUACAAUUAUAUUUGGUGCAGAUGUCACCCAUCCACAACCAGGAGAAGACUCUAGCCCUUCAAUAGCGGCCGUAUGUGCACUGAUUUUCUGUUUCUGCUUUCUAGUAAUUCACUCUGUUAAAAGAUUGAAUUGACUGAGAUAGGUGGUGGCCUCAAUGGAUUGGCCAGAAAUAACCAAGUACAGAGGACUUGUCUCUGCUCAGGCACAUAAUCAGGAAAUUAUCCAAGAUCUCUAUAAAUCUAUUAAAGAUCCUCAGAGGGGUUCAGUUCAUGGAGGGAUGAUCCGGUUAGUAGACAUGGAAGUACAUAUCAGGUGCCUUAUUAUUAAGAGAACCUUAUGCUUCUGUUUGUCUUUUACAGGGAACUGUUAAUUGCCUUCAAAAUAUCAACCAACCGUAAACCUGAGAGUAUUAUUUUCUACCGGUAAUGGUUGUUUUCAAUGUUAAACUGCAUGUUUUGUAGAAUGUUACUGAUGUUGUUUCAUUUAUGUGCCAGAGAUGGUGUUAGUGAAGGGCAGUUCAGUCAGGUUUUACUCCAUGAAAUGAAUGCUAUCCGGGAGGUAAUGCUGAUGAGUCCUGAAGUUAAUACAAUUUUCUUGUGUUCUAGAGAUUUUCAAUAUCUAGUUUCAGUUAAUUUCUUGUUGAUGACUUUUGUUGCAACAUGCUAAAUUGACUUAUCUCCAGGCCUGUGCCUCACUUGAGGAGGGAUAUGCGCCACCAGUUACGUUUGUUGUGGUACAGAAAAGGCAUCAUACUCGCCUUUUUCCUGGUGAUCACAACAGACGCGAUCUGACAGAUAGGAGUGGAAAUAUUUUACCAGGUUCCAAGUUAUCUUUGUAUUAUUAAUCUUUAUUUUCUAUUUGCGUCUUUUGAGUAUGCAUAAUGGCUGGGAACCAUGUUGUUGCUUAACCUUGUCUUUGAUGAAUAUUUUUGGGAUGUCCCUGUGUUAGGAACUGUUGUUGAUACUCAUAUUUGUCACCCUACAGAAUUUGAUUUUUACCUCAACAGCCAUGCAGGAAUUCAGGUUAAAAAAAAAAAUUAAGUUUGCUAUUUCAAUCCAGGUUAAAAAAAUAAAACAAUGUCCCCCCCCCCCCCCCCUCUUGAAUUUUUAAAUGUGUUGGACUGAUUAAGGUGUUUAUUCCAGGGAACCAGUCGCCCAACUCACUACCAUGUAUUGUAUGAUGAGAACCAUUUUACUGCAGAUGACUUGCAAUUGUUAACAAAUAACUUGUGUUACACGUAAUAUGUUUACCUUCUCUAUAAUGGGAUUUAAUAUUGCAUUGUUGAAGAAUUUAUCUUUCGAGUGGUUAUUUUGUAAGUUUUUGACUCGUGGCCCAUUUUCAGGUAUGCAAGGUGUACUCGAUCAGUUUCAAUAGGUCUGACCCUUGUACUUCUAUUGUUUUACUAAAAAUAUUGCUAGCAUUGAUUGAUUUUUUUUUUCUUUUUAUUUUUUGUAUUGGCUGUUUUCAUAUGGCAGUGCCUCCUGCAUACUAUGCACAUUUAGCAGCUUUUCGGGCUCGUUUUUAUAUCGAGGAUGAAACAUCUGCGGGUGGAUCCACAGGAGGGACUAGGAGCACGGCGGAGGGGAGUUUGGCUAUCCGGCCUCUUCCCGUCAUCAAGGAUAAUGUGAAAGAUGUAAUGUUUUACUGCUGAAAGUAGUCUCCAGCAUCAAUCCUCUUUGUCAUGGUUUUCAUCAAGGCUUGACGUGUUUUGGUAUAUGGAGUACAGCGUGGUGCCGUUUUUGGACAGUACUGUUAUUUUGGGAGUAGUUUCAAAUUGGACAUCAAGGGUAGAAACUGAUUCUCCUUAUGUUAAAAAUGUUAGCUGCAUAUUGUCCUGGUUAAUGCUGGUUAAUGCCUUGUAAAUUUAAAUGCCAAAAAACUUCAUUUCUUGGUGGGGUUAUUUGAUCUCACUGCACGCUUUUUUAAAUUAACAUUUUUGGACAGUGCUGAUUAUCUCACUGCACUCUUUUUUCAAUUAACAUUUUUAUUCUGAAAACAUAAUUGGAUCAAUUAUAUAUUUGAUCUUAUUUUCUCUCUCGAUCUCUUUCCCUUAACCAAAAUUUAUUGUAAUAUGUGAAGUAAGUAUUGAAUUUUCUAAUUAUUCAAAAAGUAAUAAAUUCAGCUCAAUGGUAAUUAGAAACAAGAUGAAAGAGACAAUGUUAAUCAUUUAGAAAUAAAAAAUAAGAGUUUUUAGACUGUUCUAAAUUUGUUAGAAUUUUGAGAAAGAUGAAGUUGAUUUUGGAGAGAAUAAAAUUGAAAAGUAGUUUAAGCUUUGAUCAUUUCUACAGUAGACAGAAAAAUUAGAGCCAAUUUGGGAUUGCGAAGGCAUAUGAAAUAAGCAGCUUAUGUGUUGUGCAGGUGAAAUAAGUUGUUGAUAAAAAAAGUAGUUUAGUGUUUGGAAAACUGUAUUGUUGUGGUUGCUAAGAAUUUGAAUAGUACAGUACAUGUGUUUGGUAAAUUAUAUUACGAAAGUAUUGUUUUAUUAUAUAAUGAGCAAAAUAGAUACAAGUUUUAAUUACUUUUUAUUUUUAAAGUAUGUUUAAUAGAUUAUUUAUACAUAUCUUUUUUCUUAUUGUUUUAUAUAUAAUGACUAAGAUAGACAUAAAUUUUAAUUACUUUUUAUUUUUAAAGUAUAUUUAAUAAAUUAUUGAGACAUAUCUUUUUUUCUUAAAUGCAUAAAAUUACAUUAAAAAACUCAAUUAAAAAAAUCUAUAGAACUUCAUAAUUUAUUACAAAAAAAAUAUGAUAAAAAUAAAGUUAUGAUUCAUAUAUUAGGGUUUAUAGAUAAAUAAAAUAUAAUUGUCUUUUUAUUAAAUUCUAGGGUUAUAAUAGGAAAUUUAAAAAGGUAUGGUAACUUAUUAAAUAAGCUGUUUAUAAAAAGUAAUUUGUUACCUGCUUUUAAAAGUUGCUGACAAAAUGGAAAAAAUUAUGAAAUAAGUUGAUUUUAUAAAAUUUUACAAACAUUAUUUUUAUUAAAAAUUAUGAAAUAAGCAGUUUAUUAAAUUUCAACUACAAUUCUAAACUGACCCUUGGUUAAUCAAAUAUUUUUUGUGACUUUUGAGAAUUAGUGAAUUAAAAUAAUAAAUUAUCAUAAAAAAAUGAUUUUUAGAAGGAAAAUCAACGUUUGCCUCAAUUGUUUGAUGAGGCGAAUGAUGCAUGUAUACGGUUGGGUACAUGCAGUUGUUUUUAACUAAGAUGUAUAAAUAGAUGAACAAAUACUGCAAAAGCGAAAGUAUUUAAUUAAAAAAUGUCAUAAAAAUUUCUUCAAAGCCGGUGAUCGUACUACAAGUACAUUUAAGCAGUCAGCAAGAGUAUUGAACUGUGUAUGCUUCCUUUUUUCAUUUCAAUUACCCGUUAUUCUUCUUGUACGGUGGCUUCUGAAUUACUUUCUUUACUUUUUGAGAGCUCAAGCAAUUCCGUUGCUUCUUCCACUUUUGCAGCCAAUGACUCAAAGUGAAUCCAACAGCACGAUCAUCUCGGAGAGAUCCAUUUCCAAAAUCAUCUCAGUAAUCUUUGGUGAAAGAUCACACUGUCCAAAAGUUACUUACAUGUAAAUAUCAUUAAACCAAAGCUUAAAGCAGGUGAAAAUUGUGAGUACAUUCGCAGAAGGUUAAAACUUCAAUUUACUCCCUUAUUUUAAAAGACAACCUACUACUUACCUCAAAAAUAUAAAAACAUCAAUUGAUGUCUUUUAUUAUUAAAAAGACAAAAAAAAAUAUUAUCAACACACUUUUCGUUUGUCCUAAUCUUUUGAACGAAAAUGAAAAUAAACUGAAGAUUAUCAUUUUACCCGAAGAUGAAUCAAAAUUGACCCUUCACAAAAAAAUAUGAGCAAUCACCUUGAGUUUCUUCACCAGCGGGUAGAGUCUUCGGCCAAGAAUAUCUUUCCUUUCAUUAGGGGAAGCAGCAGCAAGCAUGCUGCUCAAAUUUUCAUUGUAAGCAGCAGCUCUUUAAUUCCCAUUUGUCAGCUCUUUGAUUCCCAUUGGAAAAUUUAGCAUUGCCCAUUCAUCCUUCCUCCUCUAUAUUGCCUUACAGAAUUAGGAGCCUGUAAUACAAAAUUUUUAAUCCCAAAGUUAAGCAGAAGCGCAACAAUUCCAAAUACAUCCUAAACUUGAUUUUACGUUACCAUUAGAAACAAAGGAGAAGGAGGAGGAGGAGAAAAUCCAUUAGGAAUCAUGCCACCAUGCCUGAACCCUGGUGCUUGGUACACUUGUAAUGCACGUUGAUAAAGGGUCGGAUGCAUAGGAAAAAUGGUGCUACCAAGUCCUGGCCCUUGCUUUGCAUACAUCAUUCGUAGGUACGAAGUUCUUUCUCGCUUUGUUUGAGCAAUGGCCACAUACAAUGGCUUUUGAUGAAACAAGAUGCCAUUCAGAGUAUUUAUGGCUCGAUUGGCUUCAUCAGGAUUAGAGAAACACACAAAUCCGAACCCUUUGCUAAUACCUCGAUUAGUUCUCAUGAUCUUAACAGAGCUGAUAAUGCCACACUGGCUAAAAUAUUGUUUCAAUUCAAUUUCGUCAACGUCAUCAUUUAUGUUCUUCACAUACAAAUUUUUAUCCUACAAUUGACAAACAUCUUGAUUUUAGCAGGAUUUAACAAACGAAAAUAACGAUAUUAAUUAAGAGAGCAAAUAACCAAAAAAAAAAAAAACACCUUGUAUAAUUCAGCACGCUCUUUGCGCAUUCUCUCAAAUUAAGCGCGUAAAAUCGCCUUUCGUUCAGCUUUCUUCUGUGCAUUGUGUCUUUGGCUCUUUUAACAUCAUCUGGAUUUUCAAAAUUCACAAAACCAAAACCCUUUGAUGUCCCGUUAGCAUCUUUUGAGAUAACCAAACUUAUUAAUAUUUUUCCAAACUCGAAGAAUUUCUCUACCAAAAUCUCCUCAGUCACAUCAUCAUCUAAAUUCUUGACGUACAGGUUGUUAAAAAAAGCACUUUCUUGAAUCCCCCCAGCCCUUCUGAUGAAUGGACCAACAUAGCUGCCAAUUAAUGCCAGUGAACAUUAUUAAUGCGACAAAUAGUAGAUAAAUUAGCAUAUAUACAAAGAUGACACAUACAACUGUGGCUGGAUCCAAUAACUAAUUGCACCAUUGUUUUGCCCCUUUUAUAGAAUGUAAAAUUAAAAUUUACUAUUAAAAUUGUCAAAAACCACCAACAAAGUGUUGGCUCCACUGGCAAUGGAGUCCCCUUAAGUGACUUGACUGGGUUUGCUCCCUAGUUCGAGUCGCAGGGAAGUCGCCUUUGUUGGGAGAACCUGUGCCUCCCGGUUCGAGCGGGGACUUCUAGUCUGGGUUGUGGUACGGGCUUAAAGGUGCCUCCCACAGUUGGGGCCCUCCCCAGGAUACCUCGUGAUUAAUAUCAAAAAAAUUGUCAAAAACCAUUACGUGUGGCAAUAUUCAAAUCCGAAUUUAAAUCUGCAUUGAAAUUUUGAGAUAUGGAUCCACAUUUUUUUUUUAUUGGAUCUGAUUAAAGGAAAUAUUCGUAAAGAUUGCAGGCAUAUAUUUUGCAUAUCUAGAUUCGCAUGAUUCAAAAUUCAUAUAUAAUUUAAAAUUUAACAAAUUUGCCUAAUAAAAUCCAAUUAUAAUUGAACGAUCAACAAUUCAACACCUAGAAUAACAUUCAACAAUAUUAAAUUCAUAAAUAAAAAUACCAUAAAAUAAAUCAAACAUCAAAAAUAACAUAAAUUUAAGUCUAACACCACUACAAAUCCAUAAAUACGAACACCACAAGUCCACUUAGAUUCAAUUUAAAACCAUCACAAAUAAAAACACCACAACAAAUCUACACAAGUUUGAUUUUUUUAAAUUUAACAUAUAUUUUUUAUUCAAUUUUAAUGUAAUAAAUAAUUUAAUUAAAAAAUAAUGUGGAUCCAAAUAUUCAAUUUUCUGGAUGCAUUUGCAUCCGAAUCCGUACAUAUUUAUUUUUUGGCAUCCUAAUCUAUACUUUUCAAUAUGUGGAUCCAAAUCUUUACAAAUCUGGGUCGGAUCUAGAUUUUUUUACGAUCCCUACAAACAAUUACCAUGUUUGAUAGGUUAAAAAAAUAUAGGCACACGUUAGACAAUAGUAUAAAGUUAAGAGUAUUGGACUAUUCUUUUUAAAAUUAAAUCAGUCUUUUGUUUGGUGCUGCAAAGAUAAGUGAGGAUUAUGUACCUUAAGACCACACCAUUUAAUCUUGGACACAUACUUUUAUAAAGUAGAAUGAAAAAUUUUCCCAUAGGGACCCUAGGGAUAAUGUGGGAUAAUUUUUUUCAUGCCUAAAAAUAAUUGUAGAAUAACUACACAAUGAAAUAUCUAUAUCUAUUAUUACAUUAUAUUACAUUGAUUAAAUAUGUAUUUACUUCAAUAUUCAUUUUACUUAAAUAAUAAUAAAAAUGUUAGAAUUUAUAUUUUGUGUGUUUGUGUGUGUGUUUGUAUGUAUAUACAUACAUAUACACACAUAAAUGAUCAAUUACACACAUUAUUGUACGCGACGAGCCAUGUGUCAUUUAAUGAUUAGUUGUGUCGCACAUCUAAUUAUGUGUGUGCAUUAUAAUAUUAAUAAUAAUAAAAUAAAAACAACUUAAAUUAAUAUUCAGGUUUUUAAUUUAAUAUUUCGAAUAUUCGUAUUAUUAAAUUUAUAUUUAUAAAUUUACUCUUAUAAAUAAAAUACUUUUAAAUAUUUAAUAAUUAAUAAAUCAAUAGUAAUAUACUUUAUUUUCUUAUAAACUGUUUUAGUAAAAUCCUACAUAGUAUACCAAACAUGAGAUAAUAUUAAAUAUAAAUCCAGCCCAAUCUUAUUUUAUCCUACUAAACCCAAUAUAUUAUUACCCAUAAUCCAUCUUAUAAAAAAAAAAGUAAUUUAAGUUCUCGUGCUGACCGGAGGGAAACCUGAAAGGCGGAAAGCCUAGCUAUAGGGGUGUUCAGAAUCUAUUCCAAUCCGCUCAACCCGUCUGAUCCGUAAAAAUUUGAUCCGUGGAUUGGUGAAUUGGAUUGGAUUGAAAAUUUGAUAAUCUGCAAUCGGUGGAUUGGAUAUGAAUCUACUUCUAUAAAUCCGCAAAAAUCCGCGAAUCCGUAAAAAAAUAAAGAGUAUUUAUUUAAUUAAAAAAACUUGUAAAUAUGACAUUAUUACUUACUAGUAAAUAAAUAAGUUAAAAUAUAGUUAUAUUAACACUAUAUUAUAUCUUAUCCGAUGAUAAUAAAAAAUAAAAAAUAAACAAAUAAAUAAAUAAAUAAAGCUUCUUAAAUAGUUAAUUUCCAUGUGCUGAUAUAAACUAAUGAGAUUUUUUUCGUUUUGGUGUGUUAUAUUUUGAAACUUUAAAUGUAUUUUCUACCUUUAUUUAAACAGUUAAUUUAUGUAAAUCUUAUUUGAUUUUAAAUUUCAUCUGUAGUAAAAUUAUUUUUAUAUUAAUUUUUUUUAUUUAGUUAGUUUGUGGAUUUGACAAAAUUUAAAAUUUUUAGUCCGCAAAAUAAUAGAUUAGAUAUGGAUUAGGUCAAAUCCGCAUCCGAUCCACAGAUAUAUGGAUUGGAUUUGAAUUAAAUUUCACCAAUCCGUGGAUUGAAUUAGAUUAAAAAUUUAUAAUCUACAAAAUCAUGAAUCGGAUAUAAAUUAAUGGCCAAUCCAUAAAAUUCGAUUUGCGAACACUCCUACCUAGCUGAAGCUCUUACCUCAAUUUCCAGUUGAAAAUUAAUAAUUAAUAAUCACUAAUAAAAAAUUAAAGAUGAACGCUCACUAAUUAAUAAGUAAUUUAAGUUCCUUUUUAUUAUUUAUAGGGAAAUUUACACUAGUCUACCUGUUUGUUUUGCCUUUUUUAAAAAUACACAAAUAUUUUUUUUUUCAGUGCGCCACCUGAAGUUUGCUUUUUGUUGCAUUUUUCCACUUCCGUCUAAUUUCCGUUAGUGGAUUUAACGGAAUGUUAACGAAAUGACCUUUUUACCCCUCAAAAUUACAAUUUAACCUAAAAUAAAUGGAAAUUUGAGAUAAAUUGGAUGUAUUUAAAUUUUUUCAAAGGUGGAUGCUAGAAAUUGGAGGAAAAUAGUGUUUGUUGCUUGCUAAAUUUAGAAAAUUUGUAUUUAUUUUCUAAAUUUAGCAAGCAACAAACAUUAUUUUCCUCCAAUUUCUAACAUCCACCUUUGAAAAAAUUUAAAUCCAUCCAAUUUAUCUCCAAUUUUUAUUUAUUUUGGGUUAAAUUAUAAUUUUGAAGGGUAAAAAGGUCAUUUUGUUAAAUUUACUAACGAAAAUUAGACGAAAGUGGAAGAAUGUAACAAAGAGUGAAUUUGAGGUGGCGCGCUGAAAAAAAAAAAAAAGUAUUUGUGUAUUUAAAAAAAAGAUAAAAUAAACAUGUGGACGGUUGUAAAUUUUCUUUAUUUAUAUACACUUCCCAUCUUCCUCUCUCCUUCUCUCUGUUUCUUCUUAAGUCGUCGCUCUCUCGCUUUAUUUGUGUGACCAUCACUUCAAUUCGGUUCCUCAAAAUUUCCUUUCAUUUUACCUUUCUGCUUUCGACAAUGUCUCGACGUGGUGGCGGUGGUCGUAGGCCGGAUUCUCGCCGUGACCAGCCGACUCAGGCACGGGCGCCGUCAUUCCAGCGGGGUGGCGGCGGAGCCGCUGGACCACGCGGCCGAGGUCGUCAAGGUCAACGAGGGGGUGCUGGUCGUGGAUCGCAUUCCGGCUCCGGUGCAGCCCCGUCCUCACCGCACACCGCUUCGACUUCGACGGAGCCGGCUCCUUCGUCUCCGUCUGUUUCUGCUUCUGCUCCUUCUUCGUCUUCAGUCUCUACUCUUGUCGAAGAAACGGAGCAGAAACUGACAUUGGCGGCACCAGCGGCGGCUACACUUCCGCCUUCGUCGUCGCGGGCGGUGAGACUUCCAGUGAGGCCGGGAUUCGGAACCCGUGGCAGAAAAUGUGUUGUCCGAGCAAAUCACUUUAUGGUGCAACUUGCCAAGAGAGACAUUCAUCACUAUGAUGUAAGUCUACUUUUAAUUUUAACUUCGUUAUUUUUGAAAACGUUUUGACUCUUUUUAUUUUUUAUUUUCCAUUUUUCUCGUCAAUUAAGGUUUCAAUUGACCCAGAGGUGACGUCACAAAAGAUCAACAGACAAAUUAUUUCUCAGCUGAUUAAUUUAUAUCGGCUGACUAACUUGGGUGAACGAAUACCUGCCUAUGAUGGUAUGAAGAGCAUUUACACUGCAGGGCCGCUGCCUUUUGAAUCGAAGGAAUUCAUUAUCACGUUACCUGAUAGUGAUCCUCGUCCCAGCUCAUCUGCCAGCCCGGGGUAUCUCAUGCUUUUAACACGUGUGUUUCUUGAAUAUUGUUGAUUGUGAGUUUUCUUGAUUUAAUGUGUCGAGUGAUUUCUUAUGCAGAACGGAGCGUCAGUUUAGGGUGGUUAUCAGAUUGGCGUCGCAGCCUUAUGUUUACACUCUACAGAAGUUCAUACAAGUGCUUGAUGUUGUUCUCAGAGCAGCUCCAUCAGAGAAGUAUUUAACCUUAACUGUGUUAAUAAAAGUUUCACUUUUUGGUAUGUAUGAUAUAGGAUGUUCCGUGCCCAUGCCAGCAUUUGCUUGUUCAUGCAACUGAUUGAGCAUUUGAUUUCUGAGGAACAAUUUUAUUAUUGUCUAUUUUGUGCCUUGAACAAUUUAGGUUUUAGAAUGGUUAAUUAAUGAAAUGAUGAACUUCUGCAUCAGGCAUACAGUUGUGGGAAGGUCAUUUUUCUCAACUGAUCUUGGACCAAUGGGUCAGCUUGGUGAUGGCAUUGAAUAUUGGCGUGGAUAUUUUCAGAGUCUUCGCCCAACCCAAUUUGGGCUAUCUCUUAAUAUUGGUUUUUCUCAUUAUAUUUUAUAUAAUUUGAUGCUGCUUAUCUUUAUAUUAUCCAAGCUUGAUUUUUUCUUUUUUAGGUGCAGCACUGCUACAUAAAUAUUUGCUUUUGCUGUUGCAGAUGUUUCAGCCAGCUCCUUUUAUAAGCCAAUUCUAGUUACUGAGUUUGUUCAGUAUUAUUGCAGCGACUUAUCACGUCCUCUUUCUGAUCAAGUGCGUCUCAAGGUAUUGUCUAGUCUUCUUUCGUGAUGUCAUGGUUAUAAUUAAUUUAGUAUCAAUUUAAUGAGCUAUCUAUUGGGCGGUUAAAAGUUUUAAUUGAGGGCUGCAGCACUGUAAUAUAUUUGUGAUAAGAGCCUUUUCAAAGAAUGAUCACAGAUUUGUUAGGCAAACCGUUCAGUAAUGUUUUAGAUGCUGUGUAUAAUUUAUUGCAAGUAAUUAGUAGUUUAAAAUUUCAAAUUUCUUGCAAAUUUUGGAUAGGGUAAUUUCUUAAUUUGUGGCUGAACUGGUGGGUAGUGAGUAGUGUCUGUUGUUCUUGGCCAUUGAAAUCUAAAUAGAAUGAGCUCCCAAGUCUGAGGGGAAUAGAAUGUUGAUGACAGGGUUUGAUGAUCAAUGUAGGAAGUUGGUGUAUAAUUUGGCCUACAAUUCUGAUGAUAAAGAAAUGAGAUCUUGAAAUGGCGGUUUUAAAAAUCUUCCACGCAUUCAUUUGCAAUUGUACAGUUAUCUUGAUCAACUUAUUAUCAUUCCGUUACGUAUAUUAGCAAUCUUUUGAACUAUCUGUAAAAUUUUUACUUUCGAUCUAUUUUGGCCGCUAUUUGACAACCGCCCUUUAAUUAUUUUCAAAAUUAUUGCUGGGAAUGGGAUAGAGACAUGUGCUCAAUGAUAUUAAUAUAAUUGUUUAAUUCUUGACUUCUAGGUGAAAAAGGCAUUGAAGGGAAUAAAGGUAGUGCUCAGGCAUAUGGGGUACAACUUAAGUUGCAAGAUCACUGGAAUAACCAGUCAACCGAUGAGCCAAGUAAUGUAUGUGUGUGUGUAAUUAACUGAUAUACAAGUGUAAGAACACUGUCCAACUUGUGGUGAUAGAGUGUGAUAACAUAACUUGGUGGUUUGGUUGUGUUUAUGUUGGUAGAUUUGUUUAUGUUAGCUGAUUCUUGAGUCCCCCACGCCAUUUGAGAAGCAUACUUUAUGUUACCUGCUUUUGUCGUCAUCUGAAAUCCACAUAUGGUUAAAUUUGUCUUUUGUGUUGUAUUUUAUGUAUGAUUGAACUACUUGGUGGUAAAAAGUUUGGCGGAUGUGUCUCAAAUCAAUUUCUCAAAUCUGAUAUGUGAUAGUAGUUGGCUACUAUGUAGUGCGAUGGUCACUUGAUAUUGCCUGUAACAGUGAUGUAUCCCUCCUUCCAUGUUAUAGUAGGCAUUCACAUUAUAUCUUCCCUUUGAUUGUAUUUGCUAGGUUUACUUGUGACAAUGAGACAAGGUCGGUGGUUCAAUAUUUUCUUGAAAAACAUAAAAUUGCGCUUCAAUUCACGUCAUUGCCUGCCCUUGAAGCUGGAACUGAAGAGAGGCGCAUUUAUUUGCCAAUGGAGGUUCUAUGAUCAAAAGACUACUUUCGUUCUUUGUGUCUGGAAAAUAAUUUAUUUAAGACUUAUUUAUAGAAUAUUUUUGUUUACAGCUUUCUAGGAUACUCGAGGGACAGAGAUAUACUAAAAGAUUAAAUGAAAGACAAGUAACUGCUCUUUUAAGAGCAACCUGUCAGCGUCCUCAGGAUCGUGAAGCAAAUAUACACAUGGUAGAGCAUUGUUGUAAUUUCUUACAUCUGUGGUGGAUCUUUUUUGGAUGAUUAAUCUGGGAGCUAUCUUCUUGUGAACAAAGAGAGUUUCUGAUUCUUGCUUCUGGGUUUGACAUUCUUCUGCAGAUGGCUAGGGAAAAUGCUUACAAUGAAGAUACUCUUGUGAACAGAGAGUUUGGAAUUCAAGUGGUUGAUGGUCU